AUUGUUUUGGCAGAAAAUUAUGCAAUAAAUUUAGAAUUUAUUAAUGUAAUAAAUUUACAAACAAUA
This 66-nucleotide transfer RNA is filed under the name Agramma hupehanum. RNAcentral describes it as "tRNA-Leu". The record is from RNAcentral. Lineage: Eukaryota; Metazoa; Arthropoda; Insecta; Hemiptera; Tingidae.